GAUGAACGCUGGCGGCGUGCCUAAUACAUGCAAGUCGAGCGAACAGAUGAGGAGCUUGCUCCUCUGACGUUAGCGGCGGACGGGUGAGUAACACGUGGAUACCCUACCUAUCAGACUGGGAUAACUUCGGGACACCGGAGCUAAUACCGGAUAAUAUAUUGCACCGCAUGGUUCAAUAGUGAAAGUCGGUUUUGCUGUCACUUAUAGAUGGAUCCGCGCCGCAUUAGCUAGUUGGUAAGGUAACGGCUUACCAAGGCAACGAUGCGUAGGCGACCUGAGAGAGUGAUCGCCCACACGGGAGCUGGAACACGGACCAGACUACUGCGGGAGGCAGCAGUAGGGAAUCUUCCGCAGUGGGCGGAAGCCUGACGGAGCAACGCCACGUGAGUGAUGAAGGUCUUCGGAUCGUGAAACUCUGUUAUUAGGGGAGAACAAAUGUGUAAGUAACUGUGCACGUCUUGACGGUACCUGAUCAGAAAGCCACGGCUAACUACGUG
Molecule: ribosomal RNA, 497 nt
Filed under: uncultured bacterium
Lineage: Bacteria
Description: partial 16S ribosomal RNA
Rfam family: Bacterial small subunit ribosomal RNA
Source: RNAcentral